Molecule: ribosomal RNA, 1036 nt
Filed under: Cycasicola sp. MC-2023a
Lineage: Eukaryota; Fungi; Ascomycota; Dothideomycetes; Pleosporales; Thyridariaceae
Description: SSU rRNA
Rfam family: Eukaryotic small subunit ribosomal RNA
Source: RNAcentral
UCUAAGUAUAAGCAAUUAUACCGUGAAACUGCGAAUGGCUCAUUAAAUCAGUUAUCGUUUAUUUGAUAGUACCUUACUACUUGGAUACCCGUGGUAAUUCUAGAGCUAAUACAUGCAAAAAACCCCGACUUUGGGAGGGGUGUAUUUAUUAGAUAAAAAACCAAUGCCCUUCGGGGCUCCUUGGUGAUUCAUAAUAACUUAACGGAUCGCAUGGCCUUGCGCCGGCGACGGUUCAUUCAAAUUUCUGCCCUAUCAACUUUCGAUGGUAAGGUAUUGGCUUACCAUGGUUUCAACGGGUAACGGAUUUUUAGGGAAAGAUCCCGGAGAGGCAGCCUGAGAAACGGCUACCACAUCCAAGGAAGGCAGCAGGCGCGCAAAUUACCCAAUCCUGAUACAGGGAGGUAGUGACAAUAAAUACUGAUACAGGGCUCUUUUGGGUCUUGUAAUCGGAAUGAGUACAAUUUAAAUACCUUAACGAGGAACAAUUGGAGGGCAAGUCUGGUGCCAGCAGCCGCGGUAAUUCCAGCUCCAAUAGCGUAUAUUAAAGUUGUUGCAGUUAAAAAGCUCGUAGUUGAACCUUGGGCCUGGCUGACCGGUCCGCCUCACCGCGUGUACUGGUUCGGCUGGGCCUUUCCUUCUGGAGAACCGCAUGCCCUUCACUGGGUGUGUCGGGGAACCAGGACUUUUACUUUGAGAAAAUUAGAGUGUUCAAAGCAGGCCUUUGCUCGAAUACGUUAGCAUGGAAUAAUAGAAUAGGACGUGCGGUCCUAUUUUGUUGGUUUCUAGAACCGCCGUAAUGAUUAAUAGGGAUAGUCGGGGGCGUCAGUAUUCAAUUGUCAGAGGUGAAAUUCUUGGAUCUAUUGAAGACUAACUACUGCGAAAGCAUUCGCCAAGGAUGUUUUCAUUAAUCAGUGAACGAAAGUUAGGGGAUCGAAGACGAUCAGAUACCGUCGUAGUCUUAACCGUAAACUAUGCCGACUAGGGAUCGGGCGAUGUUUCUUUCUUGACUCGCUCGGCACCUUACGAGAAAUCAUAA